UACGAAGGGUGCAAACGUUGCUCGGAAUUAUUGGGCGUAAAGCGCACGUAGGCGGCUUAGCAAGUCGGAAGUGAAAUCCCUCGGCUCAACCAAGGAAGUGCUUUCGAAACUGCUGAGCUUGAGUACUUAAGAGGAUCGCGGAAUUCCCGGUGUAGAGGUGAAAUUCGUAGAUAUCGGGAGGAACACCAGUGGCGAAGGCGGCUUCCUGGCCUGUUCUUGACGCUGAGGCGCGAAAGCUAGGGGAGCAAACGGG
RNAcentral lists this ribosomal RNA (253 nucleotides) under uncultured bacterium. Its description in RNAcentral is "partial 16S ribosomal RNA". It matches the Rfam family "Bacterial small subunit ribosomal RNA", at positions 524 to 776 of the family's 1533-position model. The record is from RNAcentral.